GUCUUAAUUGGGCGUUAAGUUGCAGGGUAUAGACCCGAAACCCGGUGAUCUAGCCAUGGGCAGGUUGAAGGUUGGGUAACACUAACUGGAGGACCGAACCGACUAAUGUUGAAAAAUUAGCGGAUGACCUGUGGCUGGGGGUGAAAGGCCAAUCAAACCGGGAGAUAGCUGGUUCUCCCCGAAAGCUAUUUAGGUAGCGCCUCGUGAAUUCAUCUCCGGGGGUAGAGCACUGUUUCGGCUAGGGGGCCAUCCCGGCUUACCAACCCGAUGCAAACUGCGAAUACCGGAGAAUGUUAUCACGGGAGACACACGGCGGGUGCUAACGUCCGUCGUGAAGAGGGAAACAACCCAGACCGCCAGCUAAGGUCCCAAAGUCAUGGUUAAGUGGGAAACGAUGUGGGAAGGCCCAGACAGCCAGGAUGUUGGCUUAGAAGCAGCCAUCAUUUAAAGAAAGCGUAAUAGCUCACUGGUCGAGUCGGCCUGCGCGGAAGAUGUAACGGGGCUAAACCAUGCACCGAAGCUGCGGCAGCGACGCUUAUGCGUUGUUGGGUAGGGGAGCGUUCUGUAAGCCUGCGAAGGUGGCCUGUGAGGGUUGCUGGAGGUAUCAGAAGUGCGAAUGCUGACAUAAGUAACGAUAAAGCGGGUGAAAAGCCCGCUCGCCGGAAGACCAAGGGUUCCUGUCCAACGUUAAUCGGGGCAGGGUGAGUCGACCCCUAAGGCGAGGCCGAAAGGCGUAGUCGAUGGGAAACGGGUUAAUAUUCCCGUACUUGGUGUUACUGCGAAGGGGGGACGGAGAAGGCUAUGUUGGCCGGGCGACGGUUGUCCCGGUUUAAGCGUGUAGGUGUGUGUUCCAGGUAAAUCCGGUUCACUUUAACACUGAGGCGUGACGACGAGGCACUACGGUGCUGAAGCAACAAAUGCCCUGCUUCCAGGAAAAGCCUCUAAGCAUCAGGUAACAUCAAAUCGUACCCCAAACCGACACAGGUGGUCAGGUAGAGAAUACCAAGGCGCUUGAGAGAACUCGGGUGAAGGAACUAGGCAAAAUGGUGCCGUAACUUCGGGAGAAGGCACGCUGACACGUAGGUGAAGUGAUUUACUCAUGGAGCUGAAGUCAGUCGAAGAUACCAGCUGGCUGCAACUGUUUAUUAAAAACACAGCACUGUGCAAACACGAAAGUGGACGUAUACGGUGUGACGCCUGCCCGGUGCCGGAAGGUUAAUUGAUGGGGUCAGCGCAAGCGAAGCUCCUGAUCGAAGCCCCGGUAAACGGCGGCCGUAACUAUAACGGUCCUAAGGUAGCGAAAUUCCUUGUCGGGUAAGUUCCGACCUGCACGAAUGGCGUAAUGAUGGCCAGGCUGUCUCCACCCGAGACUCAGUGAAAUUGAACUCGCUGUGAAGAUGCAGUGUACCCGCGGCAAGACGGAAAGACCCCGUGAACCUUUACUAUAGCUUGACACUGAACAUUGAGCCUUGAUGUGUAGGAUAGGUGGGAGGCUUUGAAGUGUGGACGCCAGUCUGCAUGGAGCCGACCUUGAAAUACCACCCUUUAAUGUUUGAUGUUCUAACGUGGACCCGUUACCCGGGUUGCGGACAGUGUCUGGUGGGUAGUUUGACUGGGGCGGUCUCCUCCUAAAGAGUAACGGAGGAGCACGAAGGUUGGCUAAUCCUGGUCGGACAUCAGGAGGUUAGUGCAAUGGCAUAAGCCAGCUUGACUGCGAGCGUGACGGCGCGAGCAGGUGCGAAAGCAGGUCAUAGUGAUCCGGUGGUUCUGAAUGGAAGGGCCAUCGCUCAACGGAUAAAAGGUACUCCGGGGAUAACAGGCUGAUACCGCCCAAGAGUUCAUAUCGACGGCGGUGUUUGGCACCUCGAUGUCGGCUCAUCACAUCCUGGGGCUGAAGUAGGUCCCAAGGGUAUGGCUGUUCGCCAUUUAAAGUGGUACGCGAGCUGGGUUUAGAACGUCGUGAGACAGUUCGGUCCCUAUCUGCCGUGGGCGCUGGAGAACUGAGGGGGGCUGCUCCUAGUACGAGAGGACCGGAGUGGACGCAUCACUGGUGUUCGGGUUGUCAUGCCAAUGGCACUGCCCGGUAGCUAAAUGCGGAAGAGAUAAGUGCUGAAAGCAUCUAAGCACGAAACUUGCCCCGAG
RNAcentral lists this ribosomal RNA (2142 nucleotides) under Salmonella enterica subsp. enterica serovar Enteritidis. RNAcentral's name for it is "partial 23S ribosomal RNA". It matches the Rfam family "Bacterial large subunit ribosomal RNA", at positions 681 to 2803 of the family's 2925-position model. Lineage: Bacteria; Pseudomonadati; Pseudomonadota; Gammaproteobacteria; Enterobacterales; Enterobacteriaceae. The record is from RNAcentral.